This 634-nucleotide ribosomal RNA is filed under the name uncultured Gammaproteobacteria bacterium. Its description in RNAcentral is "bacterial SSU rRNA". It matches the Rfam family "Bacterial small subunit ribosomal RNA", at positions 32 to 666 of the family's 1533-position model. The record is from RNAcentral. Lineage: Bacteria; Pseudomonadati; Pseudomonadota; Gammaproteobacteria.
GACGCUGGCGGCAGGCUACACUGCAAGUCGAACGGUAACAGGAUAGCUUGCUAUCGCUGACAGAGUGGCGGACGGGUGAGUAAUACUUAGGGAUCUGCCUCUGUGUGGGGGAUAACUAUUGGAAACGAUAGCUAAUACCGCAUAAUGUCUACGGACCAAAGCGGGCUUCGGCUCGUGCGCAGAGAGGAACCUAAGCGAGAUUAGCUAGUUGGUGAGGUAAAGGCUCACCAAGGCGACGAUCUCUAGCUGUUCUGAGAGGAAGAUCAGCCACACUGGAACUGAGACACGGUCCAGACUCCUACGGGAGGCAGCAGUGGGGAAUAUUGCACAAUGGGGGAAACCCUGAUGCAGCCAUGCCGCGUGUGUGAAGAAGGCCUUCGGGUUGUAAAGCACUUUCAGUUGUGAGGAAAGUUUAGUAGUUAAUACCUGCUAGAUGUGACGUUAGCAACAGAAGAAGCACCGGCUAACUCCGUGCCAGCAGCCGCGGUAAUACGGAGGGUGCGAGCGUUAAUCGGAAUUACUGGGCGUAAAGCGCACAGCAGGCGGUCUGUUAAGCUAGAUGUGAAAGCCCCGCGCUCAACGUGGGAGGGUCAUUUAGAACUGGCAGACUAGAGUCUUGGAGAGGGGAGUGGAA